Molecule: long non-coding RNA, 1425 nt
Filed under: Trifolium pratense (red clover)
Lineage: Eukaryota; Viridiplantae; Streptophyta; Magnoliopsida; Fabales; Fabaceae
Description: long non-coding RNA (TPRA_LNC012275)
Source: RNAcentral
CUAGUUUCAAUGGCAAAACAAAGUAUGAUCUGCCUCGUUAAAAAACCUUCCUAGUAAAACCCAGUGGGAUAAACCCUAUAGAAGGGAAAAAGAGUACAGAUCAAUAAACAAAAACCUGUUCCACCAUUCUAGAAUGAUCGAGAACUCAUGAUGUUGUUGUAAAUUGCACUGACAUGGUUGAGGAAUUUUAUCGAACAGUAUAUGUGCAAUAUACUUUACACCUUUUGCAAACUUUGGUUACACGAUCGUUCCCGAGCCUUGUUGAAACAGGAAAGGAGUAGAGAAAAGGGAAUGAAUUGAAGAUACGGUGGAUUGGAUUAGACAAAUUUUGAGAAUUUGGAGGUCCUGGAUUGUGAAAAUUAGUUUUAGGUGACUUUCCCGUUCACAUGAUUUUUUGACGGGGAUGAUGUGUUGAAGAAAUUGAAUCAUGUAUAUGAUGGUGGCAUAGAUGAAGAAAUCAAUAAGUAUGAUCAACUAUCAAACCUUCAAGCAAUUCUCCUUCUCGUUGUGAUUGAUUUUGAAGAAGGUGAAUUUCCAGUUCUCUGUAUUUUUGUUCUAAAUAACAUUAUGAAUAUAUAUCUCUGAUGGAUUCUAUUUGGUGAUGUUUAAUAUAUAUCUUAACUGAUUGCAUGUUUAUAUAUUUAAGUUAAUAAAUGUGUGUGAGAGCUUUAGGGUGUUACACUUUGCAUACAACCAAAAUUAUUAAAGAGAACUAGGUACUAUAACUAUGACAAAUUCUAAUUAAUAUCACUUCUUCAAGUGGUUUAUGAUGGAUCAAUCAUCUGCAUGAAUAACGUUAUUUAUAGAUCAUUUGAAGAAGUGGUCCAUAAGAGUUAAACACCGUUAAUCUUAAUAAGUCUCAAUAACAUAUCAAAUGAUUUUCAAUUUUUCUAAAUUUUUUUAUAGAUAAUUUAUAUGAUAUAAAAUUUCAAUGCAACAAUGGAUUUUGUGAAAUGCAUAUUCCUUACACUUCAAUUGAUCUUCAAGUGGUACACUUUUUCACUUGGUGGUCUAUAGUAUUGAUCACUUGUUUUUCAAUCCCAUAUAUCUGUAUACACAAUAACCAUUCAAGCAGUAGCGUCUUGCACCAUAUUGUUUCUGAAGUCUCUUACAACAAUCCUUGUCAGUAACACAUUCUUUUCCUGGAAUGUAAAGAAAGAAUACAAAAACAUUACUAAAAAGAGGUGAAAAGUUGUAUAUAAGAUAAAAAAAAAGAAAGAGGCUGAUUUACCUAGGCCACUUAUAGGUAAAAUUUUUGUAGUGUCUAUACCUUUGACUACAACAAGAAAGCUGGAAACAAAAAUGAUCACCAGAAAAACAAAUUUGAGAUUUUCAGCCAUUUUUUUUCUUGUAACAAAUAUAAAGUUAUUUGAUUUUGGAUUACUUCAUGGAUAUUUUUUUGUUUAUUUGAUCACUUAAUGUAAU